This is a long non-coding RNA of Acyrthosiphon pisum (pea aphid), 373 nucleotides long. RefSeq lists it as uncharacterized. The record is from RefSeq and is a predicted model, not a curated record. NCBI's taxonomy places the organism in Eukaryota, Metazoa, Arthropoda, Insecta, Hemiptera, Aphididae. The transcript is spliced from 2 exons.
CAGAUCGGUAACUGUUAUUGGAUGGAAUUUUUUGGUAAUACAUCAAUGUCGUGAAAUUUCCGGCAAUGCACGUACAAGGAUUUACGUUGAGAAAAAGUGUUUUCACAGUACAAACACUUAAUGACGGUAUCCAUAUUUUUAAAAUGCAACCAAAUAGUAAAGUUUCAAGUAGUAUACAAUAAAUCAAGUCAACGGCAGUUGAUAAAUUCCAAAAUAUGACAACAGGAAUUAUCACAUAACAGUUAACACCAAGGUCCAAAAUUAUCACGGAUGCCGAAAACCAAAACAAAGAUAACCUAAUUCCGGGACAAACCGCUGGGAGCGCAUCGCACAUGAUAAGAAUGCCAAAAAUCUGCUGCUGCGAAGCUCUCGU